CCUACGGGAGGCUGCAGUGAGGAAUAUUGGUCAAUGGGCGUAAGCCUGAACCAGCCAAGUCGCGUGAGGGAUGAAGGUUCUAUGGAUCGUAAACCUCUUUUAUAAGGGAAUAAAGUGUGGGACGUGUCCUGUUUUGUAUGUACCUUAUGAAUAAGGAUCGGCUAACUCCGGGCCAGCAGCCGCGGUAAUACGGAGGAUCCGAGCGUUAUCCGGAUUUAUUGGGUUUAAGGGGUGCGUAGGCGGCCUUUUAAGUCAGCGGUGAAAGUCUGUGGCUCAACCAGAGAAUUGCCGUUGAAACUGGGAGGCUUGAGUAUGUUUGAGGCAGGCGGAAUGCGUGGUGUAGCGGUGAAAUGCUUAGAUAUCACGCAGAACCCCGAUUGCGAAGGCAGCCUGCCAAGCCAUGACUGACGCUGAUGCACGAAAGCGUGGGGAUCAAACAGGAUUAGAUACCCGGGUAGUC
RNAcentral lists this ribosomal RNA (460 nucleotides) under uncultured bacterium. RNAcentral describes it as "partial 16S ribosomal RNA". It matches the Rfam family "Bacterial small subunit ribosomal RNA", at positions 338 to 795 of the family's 1533-position model. The record is from RNAcentral.